UAGCUAGAAAAUCAAAACAAGGAAAAGAGAAAAAGAGAAAGCUAGUCGGGUCAAGAUCACCAACUGGGUCGCAUUUUGGGUCGGCCACAAUUAUCUCUACAUCUGUAUUUUGACUUUCGAGCUAAAUUUGAGUGAACAAACCGCGUCACCCUGUCGCAAACUCAAUUUCAUUUCAACAAAUAUUGAUUCAACGACGGGCUGUGGACCGAUCAUAACUCUUUUGAGUUUGAAUAAAUGAGAAUUUCAGAACAAAACAUGUGCAAACCGUACUGAUUUACUAAUCAGGACAUGUUUCACGUUUGAGAAGCUGGUUCCUGCUGCUGCUAUAGAGAUCCUCGAAGCCACAACCUAAGUGAUUGAAGGCCAGAGACCGAAUGCAUCAGCUCGGAUUAUAAGAGAAGAGACAGAGAAAGAAGGAAGAGACAGAGUGGCGACAGAGAGAGACGAAGGCAACACCGCGGCACUAAAAGCAAAGUUUUAGGCCGUUAGGUAGUGAUUGCACGACCUAAGAGAACAUCAUUUCCGUUCUAUUCACAGCUACAUGCACCCUUAUUGGCACUUGAUUUGAGGAGUUCACAACCUCCCUUUGGUCACCCAUUGCACGUGGAGACCACCGCCCACCCUGCAUUUGCUUGACAGCCUUGUCUGAUCGUGUGGGUGUCUUAUGCGAACUAGUUCGGGUUGAGGACGAGCGUCCUCUUGGCAAUAGAUAUGUUCAUGUGGACGACUUAGAGGCCGGACACGUGAACGGCUUCAUGCUACGUGACAACUUAAUGAUCUAUGCGGGAUAAAGUGCUAAAAGGUAAUUUGCGAUUAAAACCUCGUAGGAUUGUUAGGUUAGCAUUGUUUAAUUGUGACAAAGUGAUAUUACGUAUUUGAGAUUAGAUUCCAAAUGUUGAUCAUGCAUGUAUGGAUGAAAAAUAAAUGAAAUAUAUUAUUUUAUUGCUCGUUCCGUUUCA
This is a non-coding RNA of Punica granatum (pomegranate), 959 nucleotides long. NCBI's taxonomy places the organism in Eukaryota, Viridiplantae, Streptophyta, Magnoliopsida, Myrtales, Lythraceae. The record is from RefSeq and is a predicted model, not a curated record.